RNAcentral lists this long non-coding RNA (966 nucleotides) under Sus scrofa (pig). Its description in RNAcentral is "lncRNA (ENSSSCG00060026526.1)". Lineage: Eukaryota; Metazoa; Chordata; Mammalia; Artiodactyla; Suidae. The record is from RNAcentral.
AUGGGGAGUAGGAUUUUUCCAAACCUAAUCCCCUUCUCGUACUUCUGUCCUCUGCAGCUUUCCCAGGUGGGUGGGUUGAAGGGGAACAGUGAUGCUGUAAGAGGGUCAAAACCACCCCUUGACAAACAAGGAGAAGAAUAUGAUUUGCUAGAGACCCACCUUUCCCAAGCUCUAGCUGUAGUUUCUCAAGCUUCUCCCUCCGCCCACAGGAAUGUCCUGCUGCACGGAGCGCUGUCUGCUCUUUUGUCAUCUUUGCUGCCUCCCUCCCAACCUUCCUUCCUUGAAAAGGCCCACCUUGGCUUCCAUUUCCAAAGAAUCUUGAAGCAGCUUGCCGGGCCACACUGAAGUUAUUCACAUUUCUGGGUGACGGCUCUUCUGCUGACCUCCUUGGCCAUGAUCCAGUGCAGCAGAUGUGACGCUGAGCACAUCACAAAGCAUCAUGUAAGACAGACCCCAGAACUGCUUGCCCUUUGUUCCUACCCCUUGGCAAAAGGCAACGUUAACUGCUUGCUUUUGAGCAUGGCUCUAUCUCAGGCAAUCAUUUUUCUUCUUUUUUUUAAUGUUUCUUUUUUUAUUAAUCAAUUAAUUUAUUACAUUUAUAGUUAUACAAUGAUUAUCACAAUCCAAUUUUAUAGGAUUUCCAUCCCACAACCCCAGCACAUCCACCCACCCCCCAAACUGUCUCCUUUGGAGACCAUAGUUUUUCAAAGUCUUUGAGUCAGUAUCUGUCCUGCAAAGAAAUUCAUCUGCCCUUUUUUAAGAUUCCAUAUCAGUGGAAGCAUUUGAUAUUGGUGUCUCAUUGACUGACUUCGCUUAGCGUGAUAAUUUCUAGGUCCAUCCAUGUUGCUAAAAAUGCCGUUAUUUCGUUCAUUUUAAUGGCUGAGUAAUAUUCCAUUGUGUAUAUGUACCACAUCUUCUUGAUCCACUCCUCUGUCGAUGGACAUUUAGGUUGUUUCUGCAUCUUGG